AGUGAACGCUGGCGGUAGGCCUAACACAUGCAAGUCGAACGGCAGCACAGUAAGAGCUUGCUCUUACGGGUGGCGAGUGGCGGACGGGUGAGGAAUACAUUGGAAUCUACUUUUUCGUGGGGGAUAACGUAGGGAAACUUACGCUAAUACCGCAUACGACCUACGGGUGAAAGCAGGGGAUCUUCGGACCUUGCGCGAUUGAAUGAGCCGAUGUCGGAUUAGCUAGUUGGCGGGGUAAAGGCCCACCAAGGCGACGAUCCGUAGCUGGUCUGAGAGGAUGAUCAGCCACACUGGAACUGAGACACGGUCCAGACUCCUACGGGAGGCAGCAGUGGGGAAUAUUGGACAAUGGGCGCAAGCCUGAUCCAGCCAUACCGCGUGGGUGAAGAAGGCCUUCGGGUUGUAAAGCCCUUUUGUUGGGAAAGGAAAGCAGCAGGUUAAUACCCCGCUGUUCUGACGGUACCCAAAGAAUAAGCACCGGCUAACUUCGUG
This 492-nucleotide ribosomal RNA is filed under the name uncultured bacterium. RNAcentral's name for it is "partial 16S ribosomal RNA". It matches the Rfam family "Bacterial small subunit ribosomal RNA", at positions 29 to 507 of the family's 1533-position model. The record is from RNAcentral.